GACGAACGCUGGCGGCGUGCUUAACACAUGCAGGUCGAACGAAGAGCGACGGAAGCUUGCUUCUAUCAAUCUUAGUGGCGAACGGGUGAGUAACGCGUAAUCAACCUGCCCUUCAGAGGGGGACAACAGUUGGAAACGACUGCUAAUACCGCAUACGAUCUAACCUCGGCAUCGAGGAUAGAUGAAAGGUGGCCUCUACAUGUAAGCUAUCACUGAAGGAGGGGAUUGCGUCUGAUUAGCUAGUUGGAGGGGUAACGGCCCACCAAGGCGAUGAUCAGUAGCCGGUCUGAGAGGAUGAACGGCCACAUUGGGACUGAGACACGGCCCAGACUCCUACGGGAGGCAGCAGUGGGGAAUCUUCCGCAAUGGACGAAAGUCUGACGGAGCAACGCCGCGUGAGUGAUGACGGCCUUCGGGUUGUAAAGCUCUGUUAAUCGGGACGAAAGGCCUUCUUGCGAAUAGUGAGAAGGAUUGACGGUACCGGAAUAGAAAGCCACGGCUAACUACGUG
This 510-nucleotide ribosomal RNA is filed under the name uncultured bacterium. RNAcentral describes it as "partial 16S ribosomal RNA". It matches the Rfam family "Bacterial small subunit ribosomal RNA", at positions 28 to 507 of the family's 1533-position model. The record is from RNAcentral.